RNAcentral lists this unclassified non-coding RNA (406 nucleotides) under soil metagenome. RNAcentral describes it as "partial contains 5.8S ribosomal RNA, internal transcribed spacer 2, and large subunit ribosomal RNA". The stretch from base 1 to 121 matches the Rfam family "5.8S ribosomal RNA", at positions 35 to 154 of the family's 154-position model. The record is from RNAcentral.
GAUGAAGAACGUAGCGAAAUGCGAUAAGUAAUGUGAAUUGCAGAAUUCAGUGAAUCAUCGAAUCUUUGAACGCACCUUGCGCCCUUUGGCUAUUCCGAAGGGCAUGCCUGUUUGAGUAUCAUGAACACCUCAACUCUCAUGGCUUGCCAUGAAGAGCUUGGACUAUGGGGGUCUUGCUGGCCUGUGGUCGGCUCCUCUCAAAUGAAUCAGCUUGCCGGUGUUUGGUGGCGUCACAGGUGUGAUAACUAUCUACGCUUGUGGUGUUUUCCACCAGGUAACCUUCAGCAAUGGAGGUUCGCUGGGGCUCAUAAAACUCUCUCCUCGGUGAGGACAGCUCUUUUUGAACGUUUGAUCUCAAAUCAGGUAGGACUACCCGCUGAACUUAAGCAUAUCAAUAAGCGGAGAA